UUCCUUUCAAUCCUCCUUAUUUCUUCUGAGUACUUUUUAUCCUAUAGGAUUAUUUAGUUUGUUUUCACAUGUUAAGGUGAAUAUUUCAUCACGUUUUCUAGCUACGUAUAAAUCUUAAACAAACCAAUUUUAAGUUUUUGUCUAGCUACAAAACGUACAUUUUGAGGCAGCUAGCUAUAGCUAGCUUUAUUUAUUCAUAUACUUUUGUUUUUAUUCAGUUUGGUAUAUUAUUAUUUAUUUUUAUGUUGAAGUUGGGUCUACCUAGCUAGCUCCUCUUUUAGCUACAUCCUGCUAAAAAGUGAAAGUAGCCAAAUGCAGUUUGGCUGCAAGUGAAAGUAGCCAAAUGCAGUUUGGCUGCAACACAAUUCUUAUGCUAAAUGCAGUUGGCAGCGGCCACUUUUAUUACUGAUUUAAAAAUUUAUUAUGCAAAAUAAAAUUGCUGAGUAAUUUUUUAAACUGAACCAGGUUAAUGCCAGGCUGUUCACUGAUUUCUUUUAAAACCGAAGCGAUAAGGAUUUUUGGAAAAUGGUAUUACCCCUAUGCUCAUGUAUGACACGAUUCUAAAAGCCUUAUAUAUUUGUAAUAUUUGUUUUCUGUUUGUUUUCAAUGUUAGGAUAAAUAUAUUGUCACGUUUUUUAGCCACGUACAGAUCUUAAACGCACCAGUUUUAGGAUGUUUGGCUAGGAACGAAAAUUAGCUAAUUAUAGCUACUAGCUAGCUAGAGCCUCACUUAUUGCUAUUCUGUUUGGUAUAAGAGCUUUUUAUCCUAGCCAAAAUUUAUUUUUAUGUUGAGGCUGUGGCUAUUUAGCUAGCUCCUUAAAAAGUGAAAGUAUAAAAAUGCAGUUUGGCUACAACAAUAUUCUUAAGCAAUAUAUAAUUUUUAUGCUAAAUGCAGUUAGCUAGCUAGGUAUAGCUACAUAUUUUAUUAUUUUUCUGCAAACUUUUUCUGCAAAUGAAAUGGCUGAGCGAUUGUUUUGGCUGGACGAGUAACGACAGGCUGUUCCCUGUGUUUUUAUUUAAACCGAAGGUGCAAUGAACAUUUUUGGAAAAGGGUAAUAUGCCUUAUGUGCCUGUUCAACUGCGUUUAACUGUACUAAGCGGUUAGCCCAGUGUUAAAAACAGACUGUUUUUUGUAAAAGCCUGUUACGCCUAUGGGCAUGUGCAACACCGUUUACCUGUAUAUACUAAAGUCAGCCCACCACUGUGACAAUUAAUUUUUAAACUUUCUUGGGAAUCACGCCUGGACUAACCGCUUAGCCUUGUGUCUGCGAGAAAGUUUUUUCAAAAGGGUAUUAUUCCUAUACGCUGUACAACACGGUUUAACUGUACUAAGUGCUCAGCCCAGUGUCACGAUUAAUUUUUUAACUUUUAAAAAGACUUAUUCCACAAAAUAAAAUUAUAUUGACCGAUUGUUUUUGCUAGGACAGGGUAACAACGGUUUGUAAACUCUGUUUUCAUAUCAGCUAUUGUUACGGGAAAGUAAUUUAAAAAAAAUAUUUUACAGUCGCACACUAUAAUGGUGUAUGCGCUUAACUUGAUUUACGCCUGUGCAACACGGUUUAACUGUACUAAGCGUUCAGCUCAGUGUCACGAUUAAUUUUUUAACUUGCGCAAAAAGUUAUUCCGCAAAAUGAAAUAAAAUUGACGAUUGUUUUUGCUAUGAUGGAGUAACAACACUUUGUAAACUCUGUUUUUAUAUCAGUUAUCGUUGCGGGAAAGUUAUUUUUUGAAAAAUAUGUUACAGUCGCACACUAUAAUGUUGUAUGCGCUUCAAAUGAUUAACGACAUACUGUAUACCUGUACUAAAGCGCUCCACCUGAUCGUGUGGGACAGUUUACAGCUCUUAUUAAGCGCUCCACAGAGUGUGCAAUGCCGGAUCACACCUUUACUUGUGGCUUAACCCGGCGUUUCGACGCCGGGUUUCCCGGCUAGUCUCUUUAAUAAUAGCCGUAUUUUGUCUGUCUCUGCGCGGACCCCCCGCUGAGUUAGAAAAUGAUGAUACGGAAACACGAAUAUCAAAUGCGAUAUAUUUUUAUCCACUUUGUUCCCACGGGUAAAUUUAAAGGACGGGCGAACCCGUGGAUUUUACCACGGGUUAACGGCUAGUCUCUUUAAUAAUAGCCGUAUUUUGUCUGUCUGUCCGCGAAAGAUGCGUCCCGUAACGGAAACACGAAAUUUUGUAAAUUACGCGCCGAUACCAAAUGCGAUAUAUUUUUAUUGACUUUGUUUUGACCGCUCGCGCGUGGAACACCAUUCACAACGCCUGAUUCUUUAAAAAAAAACCAAGAUUUUCGCGACCAGAAAGAAUCCAAGAUCUUCGCGGAACGAAGGCCAUUUUGAUAAUGGUCGUGUUUGUGGUCAGUGUGUGAGGUUUGUAGGCCUGUUUGACUUUUUUAUCUUCUAAAAGCCUUAUAUAUUUGUAAUAUUUGUUUUCUGUUUGUUUUCAAUGUUAGGAUAAAUAUAUUGUCACGUUUUUUAGCCACGUACAGAUCUUAAACGCACCAGUUUUAGGAUGUUUGGCUAGGAACGAAGAUUAGCUAGCUAUUAGCUAGCUAGAGCCUCACUUAUUGCUAUUCUGUAUGGUAUAAGAGCUUUUUAUCCUAGCCAACAUUUAUUUUUAUGUUGAGGCUGUGGCUAUUUAGCUAGCUCCUUAAAAAGUGAAAGUAUAAAAAUGCAGUUUGGCUACAACAAUAUUCUUAAGCAAUAUAUAAUUUUUAUGCUAAAUGCAGUUAGCUAGCUAGGUAUAGCUACAUAUUUUAUUAUUUUUCUGCAAACUUUUUCUGCAAAUGAAAUGGCUGAGCGAUUGUUUUGGCUGGACGAGUAACGACAGGCUGUUCCCUGUGUUUUUAUUUAAACCGAAGUUGCAAUGAACAUUUUUGGAAAAGGGUAAUACGCCUUAUGCGCCUGUUCAACUGUGUUUAACUGUACUAAGCGGUUAGCCCAGUGUUAAAAACAGACUGUUUUUUGUAAAAGGCUGUUACGCCUAUGGGCAUGUGCAACACCGUUUACCUGUAUAUACUAAGGUCAGCCCACCACUGUGACAAUUAAUUUUUAAACUUUCUUGGGAAUCACGCCUGGACUAACCGCUCAGCCCUGUGUCUGCGAGAAAGUUUUUUUCAAAAGGGUAUUAUUACUAUACGCUGUACAACACGGUUUAACUGUACUAAGCGCUCAGCCCAGUGUCACGAUUAAUUUUUUAACUUUUAAAAAAACUUUUCCACAAAAUAAAAUAAUAUUGACCGAUUGUUUUUGCUAUGAUGGAGUAACAACACUUUGUAAACUCUGUUUUUAUAUCAGUUAUCGUUGCGGGAAAGUUAUUUUUUGAAAAAUAUGUUACAGUCGCACACUAUAAUGGUGUAUGCGCUUCAAAAGAUUAACGACAUACUGUAUACCUGUACUAAAGCGCUCCACCUGAUCAUGUGGGACAGUUUACGGCUCUUAUUAAGCGCUCCACAGAGUGUUCAAUGCCGGAUCACACCUUUACUUGUGGCUUAACCCGGCGUUUCGACGCCGGGUUUCCCGGCUAGUCUCUUUACUAAUAGCCGUAUUUUGUCUGUCUGUCCGCGAAAACCGCGUCCUGUUACAGAAACACGAAAUGCGAUAUAUAAAGGACGGGCGACCCCGUGGAUUUUUCCACGGGUUAACAGCUAGUCUCUUUAAUAAUAGCCGUAUUCCGUCUGUCUGUGUGUCCGCGAAAGCGGCGUCUUGUAACGGAAACACGAAAUUUUUAAAAUGCGCACCAAUACCAAAGGCGAUAUUUUUCUGUCCACUUUGUUGCAACGGGUUAAUUUAAAGGACGGGCGUCCCCGUGGAUUUUUCCACGGGCUAACGACUAGUCUCUAUUAUAAUAGCCGUAUUCCGUCUGUCCGUCUGUCCGUCUCUGCGCGGACCCCCGCUGAGUUAGAAAAUGAUGUUACGGAAACACCAAUAUCAAAUGCGAUAUAUUUUUAUCCACUUUGUUGCGACGGGUAAAUAUAAAGGACGGGCGACCCCGUGGGUUUAUCCACGGGCAACGACUAGUCUCUAUUAUAAUAGCCGUAUUCCGUCUGUCUGUCUCUGCGCGGACCCCCCGCUGAGUUAGGAAAUGAUGUUACGGAAACACGAAUAUCAAAUGCAAUACAUUUUUAUCCACUUUGCCGCGACGAGUAAAUAUGAAGGACGGGCGAACCCGUGGAUUUUUUCACGGGCAACAACUAGUCUCUAUAAUAAUAGCCGUCGUCUGUCUGUCUGUUCAAAAGGGUUACCGAUAUUCCUUUUAUCUUUCCGCGAAUUUUUAGAAAACAGGGGGUUGUUUAAUCGCAAAUCAAAUUAUUGAUUAAAAAAAAUCCUUAAAAUUAAUUUAUUUCUUUAAUUAAUUGAAUUACUUCAAUUUAUUUCCAUAAGUAAGAAAAAAAAUUUAGUGAUAAAAAUGAAUGCAUUAUUUUAAUACGCCAUUUUUAAUAAUGAUUACCCCCGUGACCUCAAUCGCCGUUUUCGCUCAGGAGCUACAGAGAACAAAUGGGACAGUUUACUGACAGUUUAACUGACUUUGUUUUGACCGCUCGCACGUGUAUACCAAUCAAAACGCCUUAUUCUUUGAAAAUCCAAUCAAGACUUUCGCAGCCUAGAAAUGCCAACGAAGAAACAUGAUGGCCAUUUUAGUUUUUAAAAAGUAAAUGGUGGUCAGUGUUGUUUCUAAGUCUGUUUCACCUUUUUGUCUUCUAUAAGCUUUUUAUAUUUGUAAUAUUUGUUUUUUUUAUGUUCUAAAAUGUGAAGAUAAAUAUACACGUUUUUUAGCUACGUACAGAUCUUAAACGCCCCAGUUUUAGGAUUUUUGGCUAGGAACGAAUAUUUUGAAGGCUAGCUAGCUAAUAGUGUAGUACAAUAGCCUUACUUUUUACUAAUUUUGUUUGGUAUAAGAGGUUUUUCUCCAACCCAACAUAUCGCAAUAUUCUCAGCAAUAAAUCUUAUGCUAAAUGCAGUUUAGCUAGGUAGCUACAUCUUUACUUAUUUUCUUUAAAAAUUUUUUUGCAAAUAAAAUGGCUGAGCAAUUGCUUUAGCUGGAGGGGUAACGACAGGCUGUUUCCUGUGUUGUGAUAAAGUUUUUUUAGAGAAGGGUACUGUUCACAUCUGUUUGACUGUACAAAGCGGUCAGCUCAGUCUUAACAAUAGCCUGUUUUUUGAAAAAGGCUGUUACGCCUAUGCGGGUCAUCAGCCCACUGUGACAAUUAAUUUUUAAACUUUCUUGGGAAUCACGCCUGUACGAAUGUCCAACAAUGUUUACCUGGACUAACCGCUUAGCCCUGUGCAAGAAGCGAAGGACUGUUUCUUGUGUUUUCAUUUAAAUAGAGUCUGCAAGAAAGUUUUUUUCAAAAGGGUAUUAUCCCUAUACACAUGUGUAACACUAUUUAACUGUACUAAGCGCUCAGUCUGGUGUCACGAUUAAUUUUUCAACUUUUACAAAAACUUAUUCCGCAAAAUAAAAUAAUAUUGACCGAUUGUUUUUGCUAUGACAGAGUCACAACAGUUGUAAACUGUGUUUUUAUUUCAGCCUUUGUUGCGGGAAAGUUAUUUUUUGAAAAAUAUGUUACAGUCGCAACACUAUAAUUUUGUGUGCGCUUCACUUGAUUUACGACAUACUGCAUACCUGUACUAAAGCGCUCCACCUGACUGUGCCGCACAGUUUACAGUUCUGUUCUUUUUAAGCGCUCCUUAGGGCGUUCAACAACAGUUACUUGUGGCUCAUCCCGGCGAUUCGACGCCGGGUUUCCCGGCUAGUCUCUUUAAUAAUAGCCGUAUUUUGUCUGUCUGUCCGCAAAAGAUGCGUCCCGUAACGGAAACACGAAAUUUUGUAAAUUACGCGCCGAUACCAAAUGCGAUAUAUUUUUACCGACUUUGUUUUGACCGCUCGCGCGUGGAAUACCAUUCACAACGCCUGAUUCUUUAAAAAAAAACCAAGAUUUUCGCGACCAGAAAGAAUCCAAGAUCUUCGCGGAACGAAGGCCAUUUUGAUAAUGGUCGUGUUUGUGGUCAGUGUGUGAGUUCUUUCGUCGUAAAUGCGAUCAAAGAGGACGACGUUAAGGUACACGCGAUGAAAGGGGAUGGACAUUGCCUGUUGUAUGCCAAAGAAUUUGCGAUGCAGAUGAAAGGCGUGUCCGCCAUUCCAUCCAUACAAGGAAUAAUUGAUAUGAUCCGAUUUGAACUAUUGAAAAAUAUCGAUUUCUACGCUGAAUUCAUCAGAGAUAUCGACAUACUACAUCAGUUUGAUGAAUAUGCGCACGAAACACGCUACGAUAGUGAUAUUGUGGACCUGGUUCUCCUUUUCGCUUAAAAAAAUGGUGUUCAUGAUUCAUGACACAUUUUUUGAUGGUGCGUAAAGGCUAUUUUCCACUAUAAGGAAAUUUUCUGAAGAACGGAACGGACAGAAACAAAACAGAACAGAAAAUUUUCUUCAAGUAUUUUCCACUUUAAAAUAUUGCGCACAUUUCAACACAGAAAGUAAACACACUUUGCGCAAUUCUCACGAAAUAAAAUAAUCUGAUUGGCUAAAAAAUUUUCUACCUGUCGUUUCCGUACCCAACGCAACGAAAUCGAUUCUACUUUGCUCGGAACGGAACGGACAAGAAAAUUUUCCGUUCACGUGAUGUAAACAUUCUAAGUACGCAUGCUCAGAAGCUUUUCUGUUCCUUUCCGUUCUGUUCCGCGGAAAAUUUUCUUGAAGUGGAAAACAGCCUUAAAACGAGACAACUCUUUGUGUAUGAUGUCGAUUUCACCUUUCUUUAGUUUUUACAAUUUUUAAUAAUCUUUUUUACAGUUUCUGUUUUAUUCUUUUUUCAAUGUGUAUAUAUUUUUGAAAUACGCCUUGUAUGAUUUUUAUUUUUAUUUUUCAUCUUUUUUAGAACUUCUGUUCAUUCUUUGUUUAAACAUGUAUACAGCACACAUUGGGAAUGACUACCAUCGACUUAUCAUACUUUCCA
Molecule: RNA transcript, 6956 nt
Organism: Hydractinia symbiolongicarpus
Lineage: Eukaryota; Metazoa; Cnidaria; Hydrozoa; Anthoathecata; Hydractiniidae
Exons: 2
Source: RefSeq, a predicted model, not a curated record